GAUGAACGCUGGCGGCGUGCCUAAUACAUGCAAGUAGAACGCUGAAGCUUGGUGCUUGCACCGAGCGGAUGAGUUGCGAACGGGUGAGUAACGCGUAGGUAACCUGCCUGGUAGCGGGGGAUAACUAUUGGAAACGAUAGCUAAUACCGCAUGACAACAGUUAUUGCAUGAUAACUGUUUAAAAGGGGCAACUGCUCCACUACCAGAUGGACCCGCGUUGUAUUAGCUAGUUGGUGAGGUAACGGCUCACCAAGGCGACGAUACAUAGCCGACCUGAGAGGGUGAUCGGCCACACUGGGACUGAGACACGGCCCAGACUCCUACGGGAGGCAGCAGUAGGGAAUCUUCGGCAAUGGACGGAAGUCUGACCGAGCAACGCCGCGUGAGUGAAGAAGGUUUUCGGAUCGUAAAGCUCUGUUGUAAGAGAAGAACGAGUGUGAGAGUGGAAAGUUCACACUGU
This 460-nucleotide ribosomal RNA is filed under the name Streptococcus sp. oral taxon 074. RNAcentral describes it as "bacterial SSU rRNA". It matches the Rfam family "Bacterial small subunit ribosomal RNA", at positions 28 to 472 of the family's 1533-position model. Lineage: Bacteria; Bacillati; Bacillota; Bacilli; Lactobacillales; Streptococcaceae. The record is from RNAcentral.